Molecule: non-coding RNA, 1081 nt
Organism: Onthophagus taurus
Lineage: Eukaryota; Metazoa; Arthropoda; Insecta; Coleoptera; Scarabaeidae
Source: RefSeq, a predicted model, not a curated record
GGCAUUUUUAUUUUCUUCGUUACCAACCACUCAAAUUCUCCACGGUAACCAUGGUAACCGACGAUCGCGACAAGUAUAACGUUGCGAUUUCGUUUUAACCUCAUAAUUUGGUUUGAAAUUAAGCAAAGAUGUUUAAAGAUUCUUUGUGUUAUUUUGUCGUGUUAAUUGAUUUUGGUGGUUAGAUUAAGGACCUGUGUUUGUGAAUUUCUGUGUUUAUCUACGACGCAUCGAAAGAAAGAAAAUGAAGGACCUGAUAAAAUCCAUAGGAAUUCCAGCAGAACUAAGAAAGGAUUGUUUGUGCAGGCUCCGGUACUAUCAAGAAUUUAUAGACUACCGAAGAUUCAUAAACCAGACGUCCCCCUCCGCCCUAUCGUCAGUGCCAUCAACUUCCUAGCAUACCAGUUGGCCAAAUAUCUCGCAAAGAUUCUGUCUCCUUUUACAGGGAACACGGCAUAUUUUGGAGCUGUAUUUGUAAAUCUGUAAUUAUUACGACGCAUUAAAGAUCGUUUCGAGUUCAAGAAACCCGCGCUGGAUUAAAAUUUCGGUAAGUUUUUUUAAAUUAAUUAUUACAAUUUUUAAAGAUUUCUUAGAAAUCUCAAUAGAUGGCGCCAUUGUCUUUUUUUUUUAAUUUUUCUUCCUUACCGACCACUCAAAAUCUCCAUGGCAACCGACGAGACUCCAACAAUAAUAACGUUGCGGUUUCGUUUUAACCUCAAAAGAUUGAUAAAAAUUAAGCAAAGAUGCUUAAAGAUUCUUUUAAUUAUUACUUUUAAGAAAAAUUCUUGUGUUAUUCUUUUGUGUUAAUUGAUUUUGAUGAGAUUUUGUGGUUAAAUUAAAGUGACAUUUGGGUAUUUAUCAUUUUUUCUAAUAAAAUCUUUUUUUAAUUAACAGGAGCUGUAUUUGUGAAUCUGUAAUUAUUACGACGCAUUAAAGAUCGUUUCGAGUUCAAGAAACCCGCGCUGGAUUAAAAUUUCGGAGCUGUAUUUGUGAAUUCAAGUAAACCCUCAAUGGGAAGAAUUUUAUUUUACAUAAGCAACCAUCGCGUCUGUUAUGAAGUUUCCUAAGUUGCAUUCGCUGGUUC